RNAcentral lists this ribosomal RNA (468 nucleotides) under uncultured bacterium. RNAcentral's name for it is "partial 16S ribosomal RNA". It matches the Rfam family "Bacterial small subunit ribosomal RNA", at positions 28 to 507 of the family's 1533-position model. The record is from RNAcentral.
GACGAACGCUGGCGGCGUGCUUAACACAUGCAAGUCGAACGGAAAGGCCCUGCUUUUGUGGGGUGCUCGAGUGGCGAACGGGUGAGUAACACGUGAGUAACCUGCCCUUUACUUUGGGAUAACUUCAGGAAACUGGGGCUAAUACCGGAUAGGAGCUCCUGCUGCAUGGUGGGGGUUGGAACGUUUCGGCGGUUGGGGAUGGACUCGCGGCUUAUCAGCUUGUUGGUGGGGUAGUGGCUUACCAAGGCUUUGACGGGUAGCCGGCCUGAGAGGGUGACCGGCCACAUUGGGACUGAGAUACGGCCCAGACUCCUACGGGAGGCAGCAGUGGGGAAUAUUGCACAAUGGGCGGAAGCCUGAUGCAGAAACGCCGCGUGCGGGAUGACGGCCUUCGGGUGGUAAACCGCUUUCGCCUGUGACGAAGCGUGAGUGACGGUAAUGGGUAAAGAAGCACCGGCUAACUACGUG